This 625-nucleotide ribosomal RNA is filed under the name uncultured Basidiomycota. RNAcentral's name for it is "partial 18S ribosomal RNA". The stretch from base 218 to 371 matches the Rfam family "5.8S ribosomal RNA". The record is from RNAcentral. Lineage: Eukaryota; Fungi; Basidiomycota.
UUCCGUAGGUGAACCUGCGGAAGGAUCAUUAACGAGUUCAGAAACGGGUUGUAGCUGGCCUUCCGGGGCAUGUGCACACCCUGCUCAUCCACUCUACACCUGUUCACUCACUGUAGGUUGGCGUGGGCUUCCUUCGCGGGAAGCAUUCUGCCGGCCUAUGUACACUACAAACACUAUAAAGUAACAGAAUGUAUUCGCGUCUAACGCAUCAUAAUACAACUUUCGGCAACGGAUCUCUUGGCUCUCGCAUCGAUGAAGAACGCAGCGAAAUGCGAUAGGUAAUGUGAAUUGCAGAAUUCAGUGAAUCAUCGAAUCUUUGGACGCACCUUGCGCUCCUUGGUAUUCCAAGGAGCAUGCCUGUUUGAGUGUCAUGGAAUUCUCAACCUAUAAAUCUUUGUGGUUUAUGGGCUUGGACUUGGAGGCUUGCCGGCCUCAAUGGUCGGCUCCUCUUGAAUGCAUUAGCUUGAUUCCGUGCGGAUCGGCUCUCAGUGUGAUAAUUGUCUACGCUGUGAAUCGUGAAGUGUUUGGCGAGCUUCUAACCGUCCCUUUGGGACAAUUUAUUGACAUCUGACCUCAAAUCAGGUAGGACUACCCGCCGAACUUAAGCAUAUCAAUAAGCGGAGGA